GAUGAGAACGUAGCGAAAUGCGAUAAGUAGUGUGAAUUGCAGAAUUCUGUGAAUCAUCGAAUCUUUGAACGCACAUUGCGCCCUUUGGUAUUCCAAAGGGCAUGCCUGUUCGAGCGUCAUUUGUACCCUCAAGCUUUGCUUGGUGUUGGGCGUCUUGUCUCUAGCUUUGCUGGAGACUCGCCUUAAAGUAAUUGGCAGCCGGCCUACUGGUUUCGGAGCGCAGCACAAGUCGCACUCUCUAUCAGCAAAGGUCUAGCAUCCAUUAAGCCUUUUUUUCAACUUUUGACCUCGGAUCAGGUAGGGAUACCCGCUGAACUUAAGCAUAUCAAUAAGCGGAGGA
Molecule: unclassified non-coding RNA, 340 nt
Filed under: soil metagenome
Description: partial contains 5.8S ribosomal RNA, internal transcribed spacer 2, and large subunit ribosomal RNA
Rfam family: 5.8S ribosomal RNA (bases 5-119)
Source: RNAcentral